UACGAAGGGAGCUAGCGUUGGUCGGCUUCACUGGGCGUAAAGUGCUCAUAGGCGGAUUUGUCAGUCGGGGGUGAAAUCCCGAGGCUCAACCUCGGAACUGCCUCCGAUACAGCAAAUCUCGAGUCCGGGAGAGGUGGGUGGAAUUCCUAGUGUAGAGGUGAAAUUCGUAGAUAUUAGGAAGAACACCAGUGGCGAAGGCGGCCCACUGGCCCGGUACUGACGCUGAGGUGCGAAAGCGUGGGGAGCAAACAGG
This 253-nucleotide ribosomal RNA is filed under the name uncultured bacterium. RNAcentral describes it as "partial 16S ribosomal RNA". It matches the Rfam family "Bacterial small subunit ribosomal RNA", at positions 524 to 776 of the family's 1533-position model. The record is from RNAcentral.